Molecule: long non-coding RNA, 2178 nt
Filed under: Gallus gallus (chicken)
Lineage: Eukaryota; Metazoa; Chordata; Aves; Galliformes; Phasianidae
Source: RNAcentral
UGGAGCUGUGCUGUUGGACAAAGCAGCAGUUGUACCUAAGAAAUGGCACUCUUUUCUUUGUGAACCAGAUCCCGAUUUCAUCAUCAGCCCUGUGACACUCGGAGUGUUUGGUUGUGUAUGCGCAGUACUUUCCUGUCCCUCACAUUUUCCAGCGUGUUGGUGAAUGUUUAUUGGGUGGCUGAGGACCAACCCCCUCCCAGGUGCUUUCAGAAUGACUGUUGGUGUCUUGUGUAACACAGCUCUCCAGAUGAAUGCAGGAAAAGUGCACUAAGCGUGUCCCCAGAGCUAAUGAUGCUCAGCACAACGGCUGAAUGCCCCCAGUCGGUGCUGACAGAAGCAGCACUUUGUGCCAGACUGAGUGCUGGGAGAGCAGAGCAACUAAAUAGCGUCCCCCUCUUUCAUAGCUCCUGCGGCUUGGACCAGCCUCCUUUCCUUGUCGCUUUAGUGGAUUUGGCCGUGUGGAUAAAUUCCCAUUCUUGCUGCUUCUUUCUUUGUGCCAUCAGUCAGCUCUGACAGAGCUCUGUGUGAGGAAACAUGGAGCGUUUUUAUGAAAUCUGACAGCUUCCACAUUUCUGCACUGGAGUCGUUAUGGCAGCACACACCUUAGAAGCUACUGUGCACAUUUGCUAUUUCUGGAAAGCUUGGCUAUUAAUGUCAUACUGAUUUCAUAACACUUUAUACCAUGAAAUAUGCUGCGUCUGUCUUAAAUAAGUACCAGCUCUAUUUCUCGUUACGCUUUCUGACAUGAAUAUCUGAGCUCAAGGAAACCCCUACCCACUGAAAUGGUGUUUCCUUUGUUGAAUGCACAUUGUUCAACCUUGCUGAGCCCUCGUGUGCAUCGACUUCCUGCAUGCACUGAAAGCUCCUGGCGUGUGGGCUCAGCUUUAGCAGGAUUGCUGGUCCUGAAGCACUGAUUUGCAGCCCGUGCUGCUGCCCCGCUCAUGGCUUUGCCUCAAACACAUGCUGAGCCCUGGCAUGCAGGGGAUUUGUUCUCACCUUUGGGCAAUGAAAUCCUAUCUGACUUCUGCUGCUAAUAAGUCUUAAUCCCCUGCAGCGGAGGACAACGGCCUCGGCUGCUUUAUUUACUGAGAAAAGAUUAGAAGGUAAUUUGUGCUGUGAGAAGUGCCGUGGUACUGAGAAGCUCUUGUGCUCGGUGGGAGGAGCAGCCGCACGCUUCCAGCUGCCCCAGGGCCCGGCGUGCAGCGGGGCUUUCUGAGGACUAAAAUCCUGGCAGCCAGGUGGGAUGGCUGGACAAGCCAUGGACAUCUCCUGCUUUGAGCUGCUGCUGCUCGCAACUGCGCAUCUGUCUGUGGCGUGGGGUUGUUUGGGUUGCUUUCACGUUUGCAUCGUGGAGCAGGGUCAUAAGGAGCUGCUCCCACCUGUCUGUGUGCUGGACGAGGGCUCAGUUACUGCAGAGCUGCUGCUGCCUUUCAAAGGGCGCCUUCGCAGUGCUCUCGUGACGUUCGUCGCGGAGUGGAGCUCAGUCAGAUUGGGGAAGGACAGCAGAGGAAAGCUUUGCAUUUUCACAACGACUGUGUGACUCGUCCUGCCCAAAGCGACGCGGGCAGUCUGUACGAGGCCGCCGGCCGCUCAUUCUGUCUCGGGAGGACGCUCACACCGCCCGCUGCCCCGCGGGGCUCACACGGGCGUUUCUCGCCACGCUUCGGAGCUCUCGAGCGCUCGGGCUGCAGCGGGAAGAAAUCUUUCUGCAGUGCCACGCUGCCUCCCGGCGGCCUUUAAGUCUCUUACACUGCUGCCUCGCGGCGAAGCAGCGCUUCGGUGCUCGCUGUGGCCGCAGCCCCCCCCGCCCCCCCCGUGCCGCUCCUCCCGAGGGCGCUGUGCCGGGCCCGGGGCUGCGCACCGCCGCGGGGUCUGCGGGAGUUACGAGGCGAUAGAAGGAUGCUGCCGUUACGGGUUAAUGGCUUCACCUAACUUACUUUUUUUUCUUCCCCCCCAUUGAUACAGACCGUGCCGGCAGCAGCGUGUGCGUGAGAGGAUUACGCCGCAGCUCUGACCGUUUGCUUAGCAGUGUGCCCUGGACUGCAUUACUGCUGAGGCUCAGUGACGUCCAGGUUGUGCUCAGUUAUUUCCCACUGAGGUUACACUGCCUUGCAAAUUGUUCUGCUUCGGAGAGCUCUGUUCUGCAGUGUGCGUUCCUAAAACGGGCUGCUUCCAAGG